ACACAUGCAAGUCGAACGAAGCACUUUGAUCGAUUUCUUCGGAUUGAAAUUUUAGUGACUGAGUGGCGGACGGGUGAGUAACGCGUGGGUAACCUGCCUCACACAGGGGGAUAACAGUUGGAAACGGCUGCUAAUACCGCAUAAGCGCACAGUACCGCAUGGUACAGUGUGAAAAACUCCGGUGGUGUGAGAUGGACCCGCGUCUGAUUAGCUAGUUGGCAGGGUAACGGCCUACCAAGGCGACGAUCAGUAGCCGACCUGAGAGGGUGACCGGCCACAUUGGGACUGAGACACGGCCCAAACUCCUACGGGAGGCAGCAGUGGGGAAUAUUGCACAAUGGGGGAAACCCUGAUGCAGCGACGCCGCGUGAGCGAAGAAGUAUUUCGGUAUGUAAAGCUCUAUCAGCAGGGAAGAAGAAAUGACGGUACCUGACUAAGAAGCACCGGCUAAAUACGUGCCAGCAGCCGCGGUAAUACGUACGGUGCAAGCGUUAUCCGGAUUUACUGGGUGUAAAGGGAGCGCAGGCGGAAGGCUAAGUCUGAUGUGAAAGCCCGGGGCUCAACCCCGGUACUGCAUUGGAAACUGGUCAUCUAGAGUGUCGGAGGGGUAAGUGGAAUUCCUAGUGUAGCGGUGAAAUGCGUAGAUAUUAGGAGGAACACCAGUGGCGAAGGCGGCUUACUGGACGAUAACUGACGCUGAGGCUCGAAAGCGUGGGG
This 717-nucleotide ribosomal RNA is filed under the name uncultured bacterium. RNAcentral describes it as "bacterial SSU rRNA". It matches the Rfam family "Bacterial small subunit ribosomal RNA", at positions 51 to 766 of the family's 1533-position model. The record is from RNAcentral.